CUAUUAGGGCAUAAGACGAUGACAAGGCCUCGUGAUGCCUGGCACUAUCCUGUAUAUGUGGUGGGAGUGUCCACUAAUACACCCAUUUUGCAUUAGUAUCCACACAAUUUCCUGACACCCUGCUGUCUAUGGAGCUGGUGUUUUAUUAAAGUCCCCUACCCUCGUCACUUCCGGUAAGGGGAAUCAGCUGGAGCCUGUGCUGUGCAUGUGUGCUAGCAUUCCAGACAGGGUAGGGAAACCUGAUAGAGGCUCUGAGCAUGUCCAGGGAACUCCUCCACAGCAUGGUCCUGGAAAGGAAAUAAAGCUAGUUUUACACUUUCAUUAUAGUUAGUGCAUUC
Molecule: non-coding RNA, 338 nt
Organism: Pelobates cultripes (western spadefoot toad)
Lineage: Eukaryota; Metazoa; Chordata; Amphibia; Anura; Pelobatidae
Source: the annotation of a GenBank genome assembly